ACAGCAGGACAGUCUGUCGCUCGUGGAAACGCGAGAGGAAAGUCCGGGCAACACAGGGCACCAUAUUUCUUAACGGGAAGCUGUCUGUAAAGGCAGAGUAGCGUAACAGAAAAUAACCGCUGCUUCGGCAGCAAGGGUGAAAAGGUGAGGUAAGAGCUCACCGGUCUUUGUGGCGACACAGAGAGCCGUACGUCUUAUGGGUUGCAAGGUUAUGUACACCGGCGCUAUCAGGGCUGCUCGUCCGAUGCCGGGGGGUAAACCGCUUGAUCUUUAUGGCAACAUAAAGGCCAGAUAAAUGACAGACGCUUUCUCUCGGGAAAGUACAGAACCCGGCUUAUCGUCCUGCUGUUUUU
Non-coding RNA from Bacteroides sp. CAG:144, 353 nucleotides. NCBI's taxonomy places the organism in Bacteria, Pseudomonadati, Bacteroidota, Bacteroidia, Bacteroidales, Bacteroidaceae. The record is from Rfam.